Molecule: non-coding RNA, 5163 nt
Organism: Coturnix japonica (Japanese quail)
Lineage: Eukaryota; Metazoa; Chordata; Aves; Galliformes; Phasianidae
Source: RefSeq, a predicted model, not a curated record
UAUUUUAUUUUAUUUUAUUUUGCUUUAAGGGUAGUGAAGCACUGGAACAGGCUGCCCAGAGAUGAGGUAGGUGACAAUCAAGGUCAGCCAGGUCCAAUCUCUGAGUAACCCAAUUGAGCUGUUGAUGUCUCUGUUCAUUGCAGGGGAGUUGGACUAGCUGACCUUUAAAUUCAAGAUGACCUUCCAAUUCAAAUGGUUCUAUGGAUCUAUGUUCAUCCAGCUCCAGCCCCCUGCCAUGGGCAGGGUUGCCUGCAGGGUCUCACCACCAUCCCAGUGAUGCUCACCACCCCAAUAAGGAAACAAGGAUCUGACCCUACACACCAAGUCCUACAGAGAGUUGGGCAACAGUUUGGUGGAACUGCUCUUCAGAAAGGUGCUUUGGGGUUUUCCUGCUUGCCUUAACACUCAUAUUGUUGGCUUGUGUGGGUGGUGGCCAUAGAAAGGCUUGACUGUCUGUAUUUGCCAUUUGCCCUAAUCUUUGCAAGCCUUGAUGGCUCGAAUUGGCUUCAUGCACUCUUUCAGCUUUGCUCACACAGUCACAGCUUGGGCUAAAUUUAUUGCAUGGGUUUGGCUGCUGGAGGCUGCAGGUUUGCAGCUGUGAUGCUGGAGGGGAAGGGUUACAACCAGACACAGCAGAUCUGACCAUACAACCACCUGGCCCCAAAGCAGCUACGUCACAGCUUCCCCUUCCUUCCAUUCGACUCAUCACUUAGGUAUUUAAACUGCUAUUUAUUAUCUGCAAUCAAAUAUUUAUUACGUCAUCUGUAAUUGUGUGUUUCUUCACCUCUGUGAUUAUGCACAUGCAAGCUCCAGCCACUGAAAGGAUGCAGUGUUUCUCUUGCCGUGCUUAGGCACUUCUUCCAUGCACUUUUCUCCAGUGCCUCCCAUCACUUCGGGAUACAACCUCAAAAUGCUCUUCCUCUCCUCGACGCCAUGUACUAGGAUAAGCAGGGACAGGUGAAGUGCCCAUUUCAAAAGUCUGAUUCAAGUUCUUGGGAUCCACAGGGUAAUUUUCUGGAUAGCCUCAUCCUUGUGUUAAUGAUUGCCAUCUAUCUUUGAUCCCCAUCAACUCUAAUUGCUGUGCAGAAUCAGUUGUUAGACAUUGCACUUAUGUUUUUUUUUUCUCCCCACACAUCUCAGAGGAGUUUUUGCUCCUCCAGGAUGGUUUUGUGCCAUGGAAGGAGGUCACAUUUUGAUGCCAUAGAGCUGCAGUGCUUUUUGCUCUUCAUGUUUAUGUUCCCUUAUGUUUACUGUGGGGCACUAGAAGGCUCUUCUGCAGAAAGGAUAGAGCAAACGAAGCAGGCAAACCAAGCAAAAUAAGACAGUUUUGCUUUAAAACGGCCUGGAAAACGAAAGAAAACAAUCCUGUCUUUUCCUGCAGGCUGCGGGGGACUGUCUCUGCUGCCACAGGAUGUAUAAAUCCAAUGCAAUGAAAUAUUAAUUAUUAGAGUCUAUCCAACUGGGAUUCCUUUCAGAGAGCUGAAUAAUUCCGGUGCACUGAAAAAAAACCAAACCAAACCAAAACACACACAAAGUCAGAGGUUUUUUUGUGUUUUUGUUUUUUUUUUUUUUUACAUGAAAAUAUUGUGUCUGGAGUAAAUUAGAGCUUUUGAGCACUCAGGCUUAGAGACAGGAGGGUGCUGUGAUUGCUUCAAGGCAAAAAGAAGCAAAUUCCUAAUUAGGAUGUGAAAAAGAGUUGUGGUCAAAGGAAGAGGUAAAGAGAGGUGCAUUGGUCAGCAUAGCUUCUUCAGCCCAGAGAGCUGCCCUUGCAGCUUGGUGUAGGGGUAAAGUAAAAGCAGAAGUCGAUUAAUAAAAGAGAGCAUGCAUCUCUGAAGGCUGUUGUUGUGCAGCACUUCAGAAGGAGGCAUUCAUCCGGAGAAGCCAUGGCACUGGCCCCAGGGAGAUGCACUCGGCAGGGCUCAAAGCCCCUUUUGUCCCCUUGUUUACCAGCACUGGGUUGGAAGCACCACACAGCACAGAGCAUCAUCCUUUGGCUGAGCAGUGCUUUGCAGAUUUGAAAGCUCAGAGAGUUGAUUGUGAAGCGAGUACUGGGCUGCAGAUGUGCUCUGUUUUUGUCAUGGGAGUUGGUGUAAAGGUUCAGCAACCAAAUUACAGCCCCAGACCUGGGAAGAACUCUUCAACCCUCUCAACUUACCCAAGUUCAUGCAUUUCCAUUCUCCUCCAAGAAGUGCUUCUUGGAAGGAGGGAAAGGCACUCAGUAACACCUCUAGCAAUGAAGAAUCCCUGAGCUCUCAUUGUCAUUAUUCAUUUUUUCAGCUUCCUUUUACCCUCCAUUCUCUGCAGCUUCUGGAAACAUUUACAUGAAAUACUCAAAAAUCUGUAUUCUUCUCUCAUAAACCUCUCUAAAUGUUCCUCCCCAGAUUGACCCAAAGGCUGCGAAUACUUUUCAUUACCCUGCAGUUGCUCUGAGGGAUGUCUGAGGAAUGGGCAAAUGAAUGACUCACUGUAGGACGAUGCAUUGCCAAGAGGUAGAUCCAGGGAAAUUGAUUCACUUGGCUCAAACAGCAGCUGCAAGCAAGGCAACACAAAGAGGAUGGCCAAUGAGAGCCCAUGGAAAUGAAGAUGGGGACAAAGACUGCAGAUAAGUAUUUUGUUUCUUAUAAAAGUGUGGUAUCAUGAACAGAACCAACAGCAACAAGAAUGUCAACUGCUAAUGGCAUGAUAGCAUAGGGAUGUCACUGGCACUAGCUGGGGACCAGGAGCAAGAGGCUGAACAGAGGGGGCAAGGGAGAAAAUCAGUGGUUGGGAUCCAUUACAAGAUCAGGAUUAUAUGCUAUUUCCCUUCCCCAGCAGACAUGAUGUGAGUUUGUACAGUUGACCUUGAAUUGGCACAAAGAGGUAUUUAUUUCUGGUCUACCCUCUAUUCCAAGGCUGGAAAGCUGCUCUUUGCUGUGUGACACCCAGCUGCAUCCAAGACAAGGCAAGACUGCAGGAGAAACCCCUCUAGAGAGGCACAGACCAUGCAGAAUCAGCAUCUCCCUCCUCCAAGCUGCAGAGGACAUAGCAUGGUUACUUCUCUGUCAAGUUGCUGGGGUGAUGGAACUCAGACAUCAGAAGCCAGUAAGAAGCUCCAGAUGGAGAGGCAAGACAAGGCAGAAGCAUGUAGAAAGGCACUAUAUAGAAAGCUGGAUGAGAAGUGAAGCUGCAUUUGUCCAAUAUAGGAUACCAAUGAAAAAGGGUAAAAAAAUGAGUACAAAACAAAAGGAUAAUAGGAUUAUGUCAUGUACCUGGGUUAGGAGAAGCUAGGAAAUUAGUCUGAACCUACAGGACUUCUUUUCUUCACUUCUCACCCCUACCUUCAAGUCUUACCUCUGGAAGGGCAAUAGACAAGAUUUGCUUUCACAGGGAGCCUGAGUGGGAACUCCUUUGGGACUCCUGGCCUCCUACUUGGACAGAAUCCUCCCUUUCAGGUCCAGAAACGCAUAGGAAGAGGGAGCAGUAGAGAUUUAACCCUCUCACAUUCUUUCUCUAAUAUAAGUAGGGUUUUGCAGCACCAGGAAUGAACUACAGAGACACUUUCUGCCUGAAAGGGAGCUUCCAAGAAGUGAAUGUAAACCCUACUUAAAACCAGCUGCAAUAAUUCCCACCCAGCUCUCCCUCUAAGCCUUGAGAGGUUCAAGAGUCCAUCUUAAGAAAUAGAAAGAAGAAAUUACAGAGCACACCUAUAUAAAACAAAGAGCUCAUUCACAUAGAGAUUACUUCUGGGAAGGAGAGAACUCCUCACCUGACCCACACCUUCGUAAGUAAAUGCCCUGUGUGCAAGAGAAUGGGGAGUUGUAUACAACCCACCAAGCUAGAAACACAACUUUUUUUCUUUGUUUUUUUCCUAAAAUGGCAGCUACUCACCUCCCCGUCCCUCCUUUACAAGCUUGAUACACUACAGGCUAACUAAAAGCUACCUUGGUUUGCAGAGAUAACACAUUGUGCUCUUCUCAGGUUCAUGGCAGCAGAAUGAAUUUAUGACCCCUCUUGCAGUUAUUUAAAGGCUUAUUUUCGAGGCAAACUGAUCACUUGUAAUUGCAGCCUAAUCCAGAUAUGGAUUAAAAAUUGUAAUUAAGCAAUUUAUUGGAAUUCCUCAUGCCCCAGCUUGCAGCAGCACAGGAUUAAGAUCUAGAGAAGCUGUUCUCAGCACCUGAGAUGGACACAGUUAGACUGAGAUAUUCCUGAGCCUGUGUUGUUCUUUUAAAUAAUGCAUGUGCUCGACUGGCCAAGAAUGUGGCAAUUAUUUCUAAAAAGAAGCCAUAGGACAAACCAGCCAGCAUGUCAUCUACUCACUCCCUGUGGGAUGCUAGUGAUGGGCAGCUAUCUCCCUCCUCCCAAAGCUGGGCACAGUGCCACAAGCUCUCCCUCCCACUGCACAAACUUGAUAUCCUAAGGUUUUAUCCUUGCCUUGGCAGCCUUCCCUCUUCCUCUCAUUAGACUGCCCUUCGUUUUGUCACAGAGAUUCAAUUUCUUGUAGGUUAAUCAUUCACUUUCCUUUGCAGCCGCUCACCUUGGCACCAGCAGUACCACAUUUACAAACGCAUGACAAGGGCUAACGCCUGUCCCAGCAGAGCUUAUUUUACAGCUAUCUGAACAUAGCCAACAGUUGAUGGACACAGAGUACAACUGCAUCCACACACAGAGCUCCUGAAGCACGUAUUUUAUUGAUGCCAAACCACAGCUGUGAUCUCCUCCUACUAGAGGAGGCUGAAAAAGAAGUUAUUCCAUUUACUGCAUUCUGAAGAAGAAACUCUGAAGCCCAGCAGCGAUGGUCUUGCUUAAAUAGUUUCCUAUCCCACUGACACAAAUAUUACCCUUCAAAGUUUCUGUUCCAUUUUUCCUAUUUCUUUUUCCCCCCAGCAGUUUUGCAACAUCAGGACUCACGAGAAGAAGGUGGGGAAGAGAGAAGAACCCUCUGGCAACCCUCCAUGUUUCUCUUCCUCAUAUCCCUGCAGGGGUUUUCCCACCUCUCACCUGUCUGCCAACCUACAGCUGUUUUGUUUCCUCCUUAAUCUGAUGGCUCACCAGGGAGCAGACAGAAUGUAAGAAGCAGUCCAACAGAAAACACUCCUUGCUAAGGAGCUCUUAUCACACCCACUUCCUUCUCUGCACCAAUUAAGAUGGAUCAACCCAAAGGCUGUCUCUUUGAAGAGCCUGCAG